UACGGGGGGGGCGAGCGUUGUUCGGAAUUAUUGGGCGUAAAGGGCGCGUAGGCGGUGUGGUAAGUCUGUUGUGAAACCUCCAGGCUCAACUUGGAGCUUGCAUCAGAAACUGCCGUGCUAGAGUGUGGGAGAGGAGAGUGGAAUUCCUGGUGUAGCGGUGAAAUGCGUAGAUAUCAGGAGGAACACCGGUGGCGAAGGCGGUUCUCUGGGCCUGUUCUGACGCUGAGGAGCGAAAGCGUGGGGAGCGAACAGG
This 253-nucleotide ribosomal RNA is filed under the name uncultured bacterium. RNAcentral describes it as "partial 16S ribosomal RNA". It matches the Rfam family "Bacterial small subunit ribosomal RNA", at positions 524 to 776 of the family's 1533-position model. The record is from RNAcentral.